RNAcentral lists this ribosomal RNA (354 nucleotides) under uncultured bacterium. Its description in RNAcentral is "bacterial SSU rRNA". It matches the Rfam family "Bacterial small subunit ribosomal RNA", at positions 1 to 334 of the family's 1533-position model. The record is from RNAcentral.
GUGAGUAGUUCAGAGUUUGAUCCUGGCUCAGGAUGAACGCUGGCGGCGUGCUUAACACAUGCAAGUCGAACGAAGCAUUGGAAAACGAAUCUUCGGAAGAGUUUCCUUUGACUGAGUGGCGGACGGGUGAGUAACGCGUGGGUAACCUGCCUCACACAGGGGGAUAACAGUUAGAAAUGACUGCUAAAACCGCAUAACAUGGCGAGACCGCAUGACCUUGCCAUCAAAUAUUUAUAGGUGUGAGAUGGGCCCGCGUCUGAUUAGCUAGUUGGUGAGGUAAUGGCUCACCAAGGCGACGAUCAGUAGCCGGCUUGAGAGAGUGAACGGCCACAUUGGGACUGAGACACGGCCCAA